RNAcentral lists this long non-coding RNA (577 nucleotides) under Helianthus annuus (common sunflower). Lineage: Eukaryota; Viridiplantae; Streptophyta; Magnoliopsida; Asterales; Asteraceae. The record is from RNAcentral.
AUGCCCAUUUUUAACUUGGUCUGCGUUUCCUUUUCCACCUUUUCUUUGAACUCCUUAAAUGUUUCGAAUGCUUGAUCCUUGGAAGUUAGUAAAUACGCCCACAUGUAGCGAGUACAGUCGUCUACAAGUAAGAAUAUAUACUUCUUCCCAGCAUGUGUUGGUGGAGUUAUAGGACCACACAAAUCCCCAUAGACUAAGUCCAGAGGUUUUAAAGAUCUGAACUUUGCCUGAUUUGGAAAUGGUGCCCUACUAUGCUUUCCUAAUAAGCAUGCGUCACAGACUUGACUAGCAUGACUUAUUUGUGGAACUCCAUGUACCAAGUUCUUACGAGUCAUUUCCUUAAUAGCGUCGAAGUGUAAAUGGCCUAACCUUGCGUGCCAUAACCAUGCUGUGUCUUCGGUCUUUGAUAGUAAGCAGAUUGGUUUUCCCGUUUUCAGUUUGACUUUGUAUAGCCUGUUCUUCAUUCUCUUGACUCGCAUUAUUGUCCGAGGCUCAAUAUAUUGGUUUUCAGACUUGGAAUGUAGUAGACAUGUGAAACAAUCUUUUGUUCUUGGUUCAGACAUUCCAGUAGUAUUGA